GGUGGCUCAGUGGUAGAGUACUUGCCUGGCAUGCAUGAGGCCCUGGGAUCAAUUUCUCAGUACCA
RNAcentral lists this transfer RNA (65 nucleotides) under Dipodomys ordii (Ord's kangaroo rat). It matches the Rfam family "tRNA". From Rfam's summary of the family: Transfer RNA (tRNA) molecules are approximately 80 nucleotides in length. The record is from Rfam by way of RNAcentral. Lineage: Eukaryota; Metazoa; Chordata; Mammalia; Rodentia; Heteromyidae.